GUGGUCGCUUUGGCAGCACACAUACUAACAUUGGAACGACACAGAGAAGAUUAGCAUGGCCCCUGCGAGAGGAUGACACGCAAAUCCGUGAAGCGGUCCAUAUUAAA
Rattus norvegicus (Norway rat) is the source of this 107-nucleotide small nuclear RNA. The record is from Ensembl. NCBI's taxonomy places the organism in Eukaryota, Metazoa, Chordata, Mammalia, Rodentia, Muridae.